GUGAUUAUGUUCUUCUUCCCCUCAGGUAAACUACCAGUCUUAAAAAUCACAGUCACUCCCCAGAUCUCUUCAGACACCUUCAGAUCUAUUUGGAAAAAUAGCAAGAAGUCUAGUAAGGCCCGAAGAAAGAAGAAAAAGAAAGGUUCGUUCUUAAAUAUCCGUGUUGGUGAGUAGUGUCCACCAGGGGGCGCUGGAUGCAGCCUCUGCGCACCGCUGGGGUAGAUGGCACCGUCAGAUGCAGAUGCAGAUUUGGCGCUGAAUAAAGAGAAUUUAUGUUUUAGAUCACACGCCCCUAAACCAGCGUCCCAUUCUAAUGAAUGAUGAUUGCAUCAAGAGACAAGUAAGGAAGAGAACAGCAUCCUUCCCUCGAAGAUUUAGUGCAAACCCUGUCUCCCCUUUAACCCCUUUGCCUGCCCAAAUUCUCUACUUCCUAGUAGCCUGUUGCAGGUCUAUAAAAGGUGAAUUUACCCAAACUCUCAGGAAGCCUGCGCUACCUCUUGGAGGGGAUUGAUUUAGAUAUGUUCAUUCUCUAUUGUGUAAAGUUGAAAUUCCUCCCUCCAACCCCUUAUGAUUUCCCAUUUAUUAUCUCACAGGCUAAAAACAGAAUAUGGAUGUCAGGUUUGCACACACAGGUCAUCUAUUUUGAUGGCGACGCAGACAUGCCUGGAAGGACAUUGCUUGUUCUGUAAUCAUAUUUUUUUUUCAUUGUAACCAAAAACAUUUUCAAAUUCUAAAAUUCCAGAAGGUUCUUUUAUGAAAAUUGAAAGUGAUGUUAAUCUUAUCACACAUCAUUUCUAAAAUGCAUGUUUCUCAGUAGGUCUUGGUAAAUACAGGUGCGAUUCUUCUCUGGGACUUCUUUUUUUGUGCAUGUGAAAUUUGUAAUUUGAAGAAAGUAUACCCCCCUUUUUUUCCCCCUAAAAAAGAAAGAUAUAUAUAUAUAUAUCUACAUUCGGGAAUAAUAGGAUUGUUGGGAAGUAAUAACAACUUCCUAAAAGGAAACAUCCCCUCAAAUUAGGAUCUUUUCAACCAGGCACAUGGUGCACACAUGUAAUCUUAGCCACUUGGGAGGCUAAGGCAGGAGGAGCCUAAGUUCAAGGCCAGCCUGGGAGAUUUAGCUAGACUCUGUUUCAAAAUAAAUUUUUUUUUUAAUUUUUUUUUUUUAGUUAUAGAUGGGCACAAUACCUUUGUUUUAUUUAUGUUUAUGUGGUGCUGAGGAUUGAACCCAGUGCUUCACACAUGCUAGGCAAGCGCUCUACCACUGAGCUACAAUUCCAGCCCCUCAAAAUAAAAUUGAAGGGCUAGGAUAUGGCUCAGUGGUAGAGCAUCCUUGGGUUCAGUCCCCAGUACCACACACAUACACACAAAAGGGAUCUUCUCCAAAUGAGGAAAUUUCUGAUCACCCUACUUGGCCUUGAGGAUGCUGAACAGCCCCACGGGAAAUGGAAGAGGUGUGAUUGAUGGAUGUAUGAAUGAUACAUCAGAUUAGCUGAGUUUUACAUGCCACAUAUGGUACAGGUAUGAAGAGCAUGCACUGGGCAUCCAGAUGAACCAGAAUUCUCUGUGGAGGUCCUGGUAUUUUCCAGGCACGUGACCUGGAGCAGUGAACUUCACCACACCUCAGUUUCCCCUUAUGUAAGAAUCAAAUAAUAAUAAUACCUGUCUCGUUCUGUGAGCUUUGAGUGAGCUGGCAGAUGUUAAAAGUUUUAGGACAAUAUCUGGUUCAUAAUGUCACUUAAAAACAAAUGCUAAUAGCUGCUAUUGCCACUGUUAUCCUUGGUGGUCGGACUGAGUGGUUCCACCUUAUUUCACCUUUGAGGCAAGAAACAUUGAAAAGAAAAAAAAAGAAGAUUUACGACCUCUUCAGUUUGAAGUAAAAAUAAAAAUCUUCAUUCUUCUACAUCCAAAUUUAAUAAGUGUGCACAGAUUCCUGGAAACUAAUGUGGAGGUGGGCAGGGAGUAUAGCAAAUUAUCUCACUCUCCAGGAUCUUAGGAGCUAGCUAAGACAGAUCCUCCUACAUUAGCAGUGAGCAAUAACAGGGUGUAAGUGUCAAAAGAAUGUCAUUGGACCCACUUGAAUCAAAGUGUGGAAUAUGAUAUGUCAAGAAAUUUGUAAUGUUUUGAACAACCCACAAUAAAAAAAAAAAAGAAUGUCAUUGGGCAGGAUAAAGAAGGCUACAGAAUAAUGACAUUCAACUUAACACAUUUAUCAGAAUUUUAUGUAUCUGAUGUAUGAAACCUCAUGAGAAACUCCAUCUACUUAAAAAAUUAUUGUUUAAAAUUUUCCAUACCUAAAAUCAGUGUGCUUCUUUAGGAGGUGUUUUGGCAGUGUCUAUCCACUUGAAAACUGCAUAGCUUUUGAUGUAGUCAUUCUAUUUUAGAAAUUUGUUUUACAGAUACAUUUUCAUAAGUGUUGGAGGAAAUAUAAAAAUAUUUAAUGUAGUAACAUUUAUUUUACAUUGUGAAAAUUAAAUGUCUUUUAAAGGGUCCUCUAAAUAAACCACAGUAAAUGUAUGUGGUGCAAUACUACGGAGCUUUUAAAGAGAAUAAUGUGGAUAUGUAGGAUAUUCAAGUGAUACUAUUUUCAAAAUCAGGCUACAGAAUAAUACAUGUGGAAGUUUUAUAUUAAAAAUAAAUUGGAGGGGCUGGGGUUAUAGCUCAGUGGUAGGGCACUUGCCUAGCACGUGUGAGGCACUGGGUUAGAUCCUCAGCACCACAUAAAAACAAAUAAAAAGAUAUUGUGUCCAUCUAUAACUGCACAAUCAAAAAUAAUAAAUAAAUAAAUUUAAGAUGGGCACAGCGAUGAUGUCUGUAAUCCCAGCAACUCAGAAAACUGAGGUAGGAGGAUCCCAAUUCAAGGCCAACCUCAGCAACUUAGAACCUGUCUCAAAAUAAAUAAAUAAAUAAAAAGGACUGGGGACAUAGCUCAGUGGUAAAGCUCCUGGGCUCAAUCCCAAGAACCUAAAUAAAUAAAUAAGAAUUGAAGCCAGGCUCAGUGGUGCACACCCGUAAUACCAGCAACUUGGGAGGUUGAGGUAGGAGGAUUUGAAGUUAGAGGCCAGCCUUGGCAACUUGGUGAAACCCUGUUCCCCACCCCCCCAAAAAAGGGGGGUGUUGUUUCAAUCCCCAGUUGCAAAAAAGAAUUGAUGUAGUGUAAUCUAGCUAUUUCAUCUCUGACUGUAUUUCCAAAAGAAUUGAAAGCAAAGUCAUAAAGGAUAUUUGUAUACCAUGUUCAUGGAGGUAGCCAAAAGGUGGAAGCAGUUCAAAUGUGCACUGAAGAAUGAAUGAAUGAACAAAAUGUGCAGACCUACUAUGGAAUAUUAUUCAGCCUUUAAAAGGAAUGAAAUUCUAACAUGUGCUAUAACAUAGAUGAGGACAUUAUGCUAAGUUAAACCCAGUAACAAAAAGACAAAAUCCUUAUUUCCCUUUAUAGGAGAUAGAGUAGUUGAAAUCAUGGAGACAGAAAGUUGAAUUGUAGCUGCCAAGAGCUGGAGGGAGAGGAAAAUGGGGACUUGUUCUUUAUUGAGUACAAAAUUUCAAUUUUGCAAAGUGAAAAUGUUCUGUUACAUAACAAUGUGAAAAUACCACACCGGACUUAACUAUGUGUUUAACUAUGAUUAUGGUUGUAAAUUUUAUGUAUAUUUUUCCCCAAUUAAAAAAAUUUAAU
Molecule: long non-coding RNA, 3664 nt
Filed under: Marmota monax (woodchuck)
Lineage: Eukaryota; Metazoa; Chordata; Mammalia; Rodentia; Sciuridae
Source: RNAcentral